AUUGAACGCUGGCGGCAGGCCUAACACAUGCAAGUCGAACGAGUGGCGGACGGGUGAGUAAUGCCUGGGAAUCUGCCUUAUGGAGGGGGAUAACGACGGGAAACUGUCGCUAAUACCGCGUACCAUCGGAUGAGCCCAGGUGGGAUUAGGUAGUUGGUGGGGUAAUGGCGUACCAAGCUGACGAUCCCUAGCUGGUCUGAGAGGAUGACCAGCCACACCGGGACUGAGAGACGGCCAGGACUCCUACGGGAGGCAGCAGUGGGGAAUAUUGCGCAAUGGGGGCAACCCUGACGAAGCCAUGCCGGGUGAAUGAAGAAGGCCUUCGGGUUGUAAAGUUCUGUCGGUAGUGAGGCGUUAAAUACAGAGGAAGCCACGGCUAACUCCGUGCCAGCAGCCGCGGUAAUUC
This 406-nucleotide ribosomal RNA is filed under the name uncultured bacterium. RNAcentral's name for it is "partial 16S ribosomal RNA". It matches the Rfam family "Bacterial small subunit ribosomal RNA", at positions 30 to 526 of the family's 1533-position model. The record is from RNAcentral.